GUGCAAUAUCAGUGUACCACUUUUUAACCCAGUUAUAUUUCUAGAUCUGCAUUACUGCUCGACUAUAAUCAAGAAAACCUUUACUUUGGUGUGUUGUCCUUACAGGUGUAAAAUACUACAUUAUAAAACAGUUCACAAUCAGGCUAACAAGUAGUUAGUUCUCCAUAAUUUGA
Long non-coding RNA from Etheostoma spectabile (orangethroat darter), 173 nucleotides. RefSeq lists it as uncharacterized. Lineage: Eukaryota; Metazoa; Chordata; Actinopteri; Perciformes; Percidae. The record is from RefSeq and is a predicted model, not a curated record. The transcript is spliced from 3 exons.